AGGGAAUAUUGGACAAUGGAGGCAACUCUGAUCCAGCCAUGCCGCGUGGUAGAUGAAGGCCCUCUGGGUUGUAAAUACCUUUUAUCUGGGAAGAAACCUUUCCUUUUUAGGAAAGCUGACGGUACCAGAGGAAUAAGCACCGGCUAACUCCGUGCCAGCAGUCGCGGUAAUACGGAGGGUGCAAGCGUUAUCCGGAUUCACUGGGUUUAAAGGGUGCGUAGGCGGGCUGAUAAGUUAGUGGUGAAAGCCUCGAGCUUAACUUGAGAACUGCCAUUGAUACUGUUAGUCUUGAAUACGGUCAAGGUAAGCGGAAUGUUGCAUGUAGCGGUGAAAUGCUUAGAUAUGUUACAGAACACCAAUUGCGAAGGCAGCUUACUGGGCCGUUAUUGACGCUGAGGCACGAAAGCGUGGGGAGCAAAC
Molecule: ribosomal RNA, 420 nt
Filed under: uncultured bacterium
Lineage: Bacteria
Description: bacterial SSU rRNA
Rfam family: Bacterial small subunit ribosomal RNA
Source: RNAcentral